GCGCCAGUAGUCUAGUCUGGUUAGGACACGAGCUUGCCAAGCUUGCAGCAUGGGUUCAAAUCCCGUCUGGCGCA
RNAcentral lists this transfer RNA (74 nucleotides) under Candidatus Aenigmatarchaeota archaeon. Its description in RNAcentral is "tRNA-Gly". It matches the Rfam family "tRNA". Rfam says of the family: Transfer RNA (tRNA) molecules are approximately 80 nucleotides in length. Their secondary structure includes four short double-helical elements and three loops (D, anti-codon, and T loops). Lineage: Archaea; Nanobdellati; Candidatus Aenigmatarchaeota. The record is from RNAcentral.